Molecule: long non-coding RNA, 742 nt
Organism: Anguilla rostrata (American eel)
Lineage: Eukaryota; Metazoa; Chordata; Actinopteri; Anguilliformes; Anguillidae
Exons: 4
Source: RefSeq, a predicted model, not a curated record
AGUGUACUCACCAGUAGCUCUUGGUUACAAAUCUUCUCGAGGCCUCCUGGAUGCACUCCUUUCUUGUACUAUGUCACAUCUUGGCGAGGGAAGCGAAGGGACGGUGUGGGAGAGAGAGAGUUGCCACUGGUUUGAGUGGAGAGUCUGCAACAGUGGGUGGAGACUCCGCACUGAGUGACAGGAAGAACCCGACCAGUAAAGGAGCAGCUCUCAAGGGCAGCGGGGGGGAAGUUGGCGUGCUCGCAGGUAGAAUCUGCCUGGCAGCCUUGACAACUCCGAGACUGCCGGGAGAGGGAGAGAGGGCGAUCGAACAGUGAACCUCUUCAGAUGGCUUUGGCGUCUCAGGACUACAGAGGGUAAAAUGGACGCCAAGACGGAGGCCUGAGAGGAAAGGGAGGAGAGGGGCGCCGCAGUAGGCCCCACCCACCUGGGCAGCAGGCGGUAGUUUUCCAGGCUGAUUUCGGGCAGGAAGGUGUCGCAGUCGAACUGCUGCCGGACGCGAGUCACGAAGAGCCUGCGCAGGCAGGGGGUCUCCAUGGCUUCCUGUGCAGGCAAAGGCAGAGGCACAGGUACAGCGCAGGCUAAGCUGACUGGAGGGGACAGGCGAAACGUCAUCUCCGUAUCCUUGAGCGACAAAGUCUCCAUGGAAACAGGCAGCAGGAAAGAGAAGGUGUGUGUGUGUACUGCUUAUUGUUGCGUAAGCAAGAACACGGUUCACCUGGAGACAUGAGGAGGAUGGAGG